RNAcentral lists this ribosomal RNA (253 nucleotides) under uncultured bacterium. Its description in RNAcentral is "partial 16S ribosomal RNA". It matches the Rfam family "Bacterial small subunit ribosomal RNA", at positions 524 to 776 of the family's 1533-position model. The record is from RNAcentral.
UACGUAGGCGGCAAGCGUUAUCCGGAAUGAUUGGGCGUAAAGCGCGCGUAGGCGGUUUGUUAAGUCUGAUGUGAAAGCCCACGGCUCAACCGGGGAGAGGCAGUGGAAACUGGCAGACUAGAGUACAGGAGAGGAAGGUGGAAUUCCCGGUGUAGCGGUGAAAUGCGUAGAGAUAGGGAGGAACACCAGUGGCGAAAGCGACCUUCUGGUCUGUAACUGACGCUGAGGCGCGAAAGCGUGGGGAGCAAAAGGG